RNAcentral lists this ribosomal RNA (450 nucleotides) under uncultured bacterium. Its description in RNAcentral is "partial 16S ribosomal RNA". It matches the Rfam family "Bacterial small subunit ribosomal RNA", at positions 354 to 796 of the family's 1533-position model. The record is from RNAcentral.
GUGGGGAAUCUUCCGCAAUGGACGAAAGUCUGACGGAGCAACGCCGCGUGAACGAUGACGGCCUUCGGGUUGUAAAGUUCUGUUAUACGGGACGAAUGGUACGACGGCCAAUACCCGUCGUAAGUGACGGUACCGUAAGAGAAAGCCACGGCUAACUACGUGCCAGCAGCCGCGGUAAUACGUAGGUGGCAAGCGGUGUCCGGACUUAUUGGGCGUAAAGGGCGCGCAGGCGGCGUCGUAAGUCGGUCUUAAAAGUGCGGGGCUUAACCCCGUGAGGGGACCGAAACUGCGAUGCUAGAGUAUCGGAGAGGAAAGCGGAAUUCCUAGUGUAGCGGUGAAAUGCGUAGAUAUUAGGAGGAACACCAGUGGCGAAAGCGGCUUUCUGGACGACAACUGACGCUGAGGCGCGAAAGCCAGGGGAGCAAACGGGAUUAGAAACCCCGGUAGUCC